Molecule: unclassified non-coding RNA, 251 nt
Filed under: Hevea brasiliensis (rubber tree)
Lineage: Eukaryota; Viridiplantae; Streptophyta; Magnoliopsida; Malpighiales; Euphorbiaceae
Source: RNAcentral
GAUUUCUAUUGCUGUAAGAAAAAAGCUUUCUUAUGACAAUUUUUAUAAGAUCUAUAUAUGUUGAGAAUUAGUUUUCUCCUCAAGGAUUGGUCCUUAAUUUCUCUUAGUUUUUUAUUCUUCUUUGUUUGUUUUACAUCACUUUUUUUGCCUCCUUCUGAGUUCCGAAUUCCCUUUCUAGCAACCUAUUCCUCCAAGAACAAUACAACAGUUAUUGCAUGAUUAAAGUUACAUUCAAAACAUAUUACAUUCAG